Molecule: ribosomal RNA, 116 nt
Filed under: archaeon
Lineage: Archaea
Source: RNAcentral
GUUGCCGGUCAUAGGAGAGGGGGAAACACCCGUACCCAUCCCGAACACGGAAGUUAAGCCCCUCUCCGUUCACGGGAGUAGUGCCCUCGGGGCGCGAAACCGUGGAGCUGGCAACC